GACGAACCGUGCGACCGUUAUUCGGAAUCACUGGGCUUAAAGCGCGUGUAGGCGGGACGGCACGUCUGUCGCUGAAAUCCCCCGGCUUAACCGGGGAACUGGCGGAGAUACGACCGUCCUGGAGGGGCGUAGGGGGACCUGGAACUUCCGGUGGAGCGGUGAAAUGCGUUGAGAUCGGAAGGAACGCCCGUGGCGAAAGCGAGGUCCUGGAUGCCUACUGACGCUGAGACGCGAAAGCCAGGGGAGCGAACGGG
Molecule: ribosomal RNA, 254 nt
Filed under: uncultured bacterium
Lineage: Bacteria
Description: partial 16S ribosomal RNA
Rfam family: Bacterial small subunit ribosomal RNA
Source: RNAcentral